UAGGGGGCAAGCGUUAUCCGGAUUUACUGGGUGUAAAGGGAGCGUAGACGGCAGCGCAAGCCUGGAGUGAAAGGAUGGGGCCUAACCCUGUGACUGCUCUGGGAACUGUGCGGCUGGAGUGCCGGAGGGGUAAGCGGAAUUCCUAGUGUAGCGGUGAAAUGCGUAGAUAUUAGGAGGAACACCAGUGGCGAAGGCGGCUUACUGGACGGCAACUGACGUUGAGGCUCGAAAGCGUGGGGAGCAAA
RNAcentral lists this ribosomal RNA (245 nucleotides) under uncultured bacterium. Its description in RNAcentral is "partial 16S ribosomal RNA". It matches the Rfam family "Bacterial small subunit ribosomal RNA", at positions 528 to 772 of the family's 1533-position model. The record is from RNAcentral.